Molecule: transfer RNA, 77 nt
Filed under: Kiritimatiellia bacterium
Lineage: Bacteria; Pseudomonadati; Kiritimatiellota; Kiritimatiellia
Description: Kiritimatiellae bacterium tRNA-Glu
Rfam family: tRNA
About the family: Transfer RNA (tRNA) molecules are approximately 80 nucleotides in length.
Source: RNAcentral
GCCCCCAUCGUCUAGAGGCCUAGGACGCCAGGUUCUCAUCCUGGUAACACCGGUUCAGAAUCCGGUUGGGGGUGCCA